UUUCUCUAUAAAUAGUGUCAUUGUAUGCAUUGAGAAAUCAUUGGAUUGUUGUAUUCCAAUCUCUCCUUUCACAGAAGUUUAUCUUCCUCCAUUCAUGGAGUGUCUUUCAUGGAAUUUAUUCGGAUUCCAUUGUAUUUGUUCUUCUCCUUUCGUGGAGUUUAAUUCAGGGAAUCUAAUUCAAGAAUUUAACAUGGUAUCAGAACAGUGAUUGCUUCCUGCUGCUACUUUUUGUUUUUCCAGCAUUCUACUGGAAUAUGAUUGUCUUUUCCAGCAAGGGAGGGCCAAAUCCCGUUGUGGUUCUUGGUUUUCUGAAGGUUGUUGAUAAUGUCAGAGCUUUCAAAGUUCAAACGUCAUUCAUGUUCGCAGUAUUGGACAUGAAAACUUCUCUUCUCUUUCAGUUAGUUUUGGUUCUCUAAAAUUUUCAGAAAUCUCUAUGGAAUUUCAAUCUUCAAGAUGGUGGAGAAAUUGAACCAAAGAUCCUUGUGGUAUCUUGCAGUUCGUAGUGUGCUUUAUUGUAGAUAGAGUAGAGUUGAAGUAGCCAUAGAUCUCAAGUAGUCCAUUUGUCAGUCAAAGAUUUUCAUAGUCUGCAAUCACUUAAUCACCACUACCAUUUAAAACUCGGUCCUGGACUUGUGUUGUGAUGCUUAUGUUUUCUAGAUGUGUUUGCAUCAAUGAUAACAAUUAUGCAGAUUGGGCCACUCUGUCUCUCAGUUAUUGAUGUUUCCCUAGGCAAAAGGGGCUAGCGAAGCAGGUUAGGAAAGCAGAAGUUCCCCAAUGGUUUUGAGGCUAGAGUGAAGUUGUCUGCAGUUAACUUGCAUUUUUCAAAACAGAUGCCAUUCUUUUGUUAAAACCUGUUUUGCAUCCGUGUUCCAUUCCUUAAUCUUCAAGAUGGAUCUCCAUAGUCCAUCUUGAGAGGGGUGUGUUAGAAUAUGAGAUUAGCAAUCUUUUAGUUACUGCAGAUUCCAUCUCAUUCCAUAAUCCAAAAACUUUAUCCAAACCGUUUUGUCUCCAGUUAUCUCCAGCUGUGAUGUUAGUUAGUAUUUGUUUGCUAGGUUAGUUGGUUGAUUAGUUAGAAAGUUAGUUAAUUACUCUACCAUUUUCUCUAUAAAUAGUGUCAUUGUAUGCAUUGAAAAAUCAUUGAAUUGUUGUAUUCCAAUCCCUCUUUUCACGAAGGUUUACCUUCUCCUUUCAUGGAUUGUCUUUCAUGAAAUUUAUUCGGAUUCCAUUGUAUUUGUUCUUCUCCUUUCAUGGAGUUUAAUUCAAAGAUUCUAAUUCAAGAAUUUAACACAAAUAGUUUGCAGCUUGGAGCAAACCUUUAGUUGUGGCUACUUAUGUGGUUGACUGGGAUAGCUGCGUUGCCGAUUGCAGAAGCUAUAGUGGCCUGGUU
This 1387-nucleotide long non-coding RNA is filed under the name Olea europaea subsp. europaea. The record is from RNAcentral. Lineage: Eukaryota; Viridiplantae; Streptophyta; Magnoliopsida; Lamiales; Oleaceae.